This is a long non-coding RNA of Sphaerodactylus townsendi, 2797 nucleotides long. RefSeq lists it as uncharacterized. Lineage: Eukaryota; Metazoa; Chordata; Lepidosauria; Squamata; Sphaerodactylidae. The transcript has 3 exons. The record is from RefSeq and is a predicted model, not a curated record.
CCCCCCCGCAAAACAAAACACCUUCCCGGAUCGCAGACCUUUGCAACCUUUCUUAUUAGAAGUCAAGAGAUUUACACCCACAAUUACUGCACAGCGCUGUUACAAUAAAGGGGGGACCUUUCCGUCCCUGUCCGCCCCCCCCCCCUUACAAGCAGCCCACGGGAUACAUAAUUAGGGUCCGGAGCAUUUGUGCAAUAACUCAGCGACCUUCCUCCAAGGUUUGUUGCCUUCUCGCUCUGGCUUGGGGGGGGGGGUGUCAGAGAAACAGGAGAGAAAGUGAUCCUUAAGCUCUGUAAUCUAGAGAUCUCACUUCCACUGGAGCAAGAUCACGUCCUGUCUGCCUGUCUGUCUGCCACUCUUUCUCCCCGCCCAGGUCUCCUGCCCGGCCCAAUGAUCGGCUGGGCACCUUUUAAAAAAAAAUGCACAGGCAUUCAGAUGUGUUUGUGAGGGAUGGGGGGGGGGUAUCCUGGGUGAGGAGGUUGCUCACUUGUUUGUGCGCCCCCCCCCCUUGCUCCCCGCUUUCGUGUCAAGCUGGAUAAAAAGGACCAACCCACUAGGGCCGAUUCCAAACCCGGGACCCGCCAGGCUGACCCAAGACGUGACCGGAGACAUACCGGAUUUUCUGAGUGUGUUGACCGUGAUUUCCCGAGAGGGUUUGCCUCACUUUAUGGACGCACACCUUGUUUGGGGCCACUGAAGCGCAUUUAAAAAACAAGAUAGAUUUGGCCGGGUUCUGGAAAAGGCGCUAGCCUGCCAAACCGGUUUACCGGAAGGGAAACCAAAGCAGGCAGCCACACCAGGAAAAAGCGUUCAACUCUGUGGGGGAGAACACCCAGCCACCCUUUGGUUAGAAGGGUUCCCCAUCACCACCAACAAUACUUCUGGUAUGGUGUGUCUUCCAAAUCAGCCCGGACAGCAACCGCAGUUGGGACAAGUCCUGUGUGAGUUGCAGGAACGGCCCACCCCGAGGGCCUGAAUCCAGCCCACAGCCUAUAUUCCCCCCACCCACCCCAUACAGCCAGAUAUGCCUGCCAUCAGCCCCCACCCCCUACAUACAUCUGGAUCCUCUCUGGCUUUCUGUUAUGAUCUUCCUAGUCCCCAAUUCAGAAGCAUUGCAAACAAGUGGGCCAACCGAAGAUCAACAGCGGAUGCCAUUAUCUUUCUGUUUGUGUAUCCCGUUGGCAACAGCCCUGGAAUCAGGAAGGGGGGGGGCACAGAUAGAGGGCACAGGCAGAACUGUAUGGGGCUGGGGUGUGUGUGUGUGUGGAAAUAGCAUGAGUGGAAGAGAGACAGACAAUAUGGGAAAGGCACAAAAGGGACCAUGCAUGGACAGAGAAUGGGAUGGAAAUGUAUGGGUGAGAGGCAAAAGAAUAGGAUGCAUAUGGCACAAUACAGGACAAGUGGAUGAAUAUGUAUGGGGCAGAGGAGGAAAGGAAAUGAGGGGGGAGGGGGGAACCCCGGUGCUGAUGGGAUAGAAAGAGUGAAAUUAUUUGAUUCCGUCGCGCACACGGUGUGGAGGUCAGGAAUUAACCGCUGCACGCGUUGAAGUGGGGGUGUCGGUGUGUUGUUUCGCAGCUCUCUUCCUGCCUCUCUCUCUCUCCUUCUUCCCCUAUCUCUAGGUCACCGCAAGAUGAAACGUGUGGCACACACAAACACACGGCGUGCGCACCAACCGCCGAGCCCGUCCUGGUCGAUGUUUCCCCGAGAUUCUAACAAAAGCCAACCUGGGCCUUGACGACUAGUUUGAGGCGAGGGUUUGAUCUUGCCCGAAGAAAUCCUCUUCCCGACGGGAAGCUGCUGAAAGGGGGUUACGUAGGUGCGGCCUGCGUUUCAGCGCUGGGUGAAAAAGGAAGGUCAGCCGCUGCUAAUCAUGAGCCAAGGCUGAAAAGGGAGGCCGAAGCCACUGCCAGCCCGCCCAUCAAACAAGCGCCAAGAAAAAGGUGUCAGGGGGGCCUUUGCCACAAGAGAAGCACGAACCGGCUCUUGCGUCCCCCCCACCUCUGAGUUUGAUAACGACUCUGUCCCACUUUUUCACCUACGUUCUCCGCAUUCAACUGUGAUGCUUUGCAGAUCAGAGGGUGUUCUCGGCGGCAAACGACCUUCGACCUUCGUUGCACAGCCAACCCCAAGGGCUGGUUCGGCUUCCUUGUCCCAACCGAAAUACCAGAACCGUGCGGCCCGUUACAGUGGGAUAACCCUGACGUGUCUUUUCCCGUCCACACCCCUUUCAGCGAGGGGAAGGGGAACGAUUUCUAGUAGGAUUUAUUUUUGUGCCGUUAAGUUGUUCCCAGAUUCUUGAGAACUGGAAAGUAAAAUCAAAUUAAAAGAAGAAAUCAAAGCAAACAAGGAAAGAAGAACACAAGAGGGUAUUCCUUUGUUGCAGCUGAACACUCACAGGAGGUGACUUCACAGAAUGGAAGGUAGGAAGUUGAGAUUUUGAAAAAGAUCGCUGUGGUGGAAGAACGGCAGCAAUGCACACUGAGGUUUUCCUGCAGAAGGAACACUUGGGGGUAAGGCUUCAGCAAUUAGGGGAACAUCUGGCACGGUCUAGUGUGCUCCAUCUCACCCACGAGCAACAAGCUCGGCUGCCUUCGGAGAACAAUCCUUCCUCGUGGGGAGGAACCAACCUGAAUUUCCCCACUUCCCUCUCGCGGAGCAAACAGCCGGACCAAGUGUCGGGAGCGCCGGGAGAUUUUGCUGCGGCAAUCUGCGUCGCCAACAAUGGAAAUGGCACGGUUGUUGCUUCACGCGCGCAAAGUGUCCGACAGAACAAUAAAGGCCAUUUCGACAAAAAAAA